Molecule: ribosomal RNA, 253 nt
Filed under: uncultured bacterium
Lineage: Bacteria
Description: partial 16S ribosomal RNA
Rfam family: Bacterial small subunit ribosomal RNA
Source: RNAcentral
UACGUAGGUGGCAAGCGUUGUCCGGAUUUACUGGGCGUAAAGAGCGCGCAGGCGGUCGUUCAAGUCGCGUGUGAAAGCCCCCGGCUCAACUGGGGAGGGUCACGCGAUACUGAUCGACUCGAAGGCAGGAGAGGGUAGUGGAAUUCCCGGUGUAGUGGUGAAAUGCGUAGAUAUCGGGAGGAACACCAGUGGCGAAAGCGGCUUCCUGGACCAGAACUGACGAUCAGGCACGAAAGCGUGGGGAGCAAACAGG